This is a microRNA precursor of Folsomia candida, 70 nucleotides long. It matches the Rfam family "mir-1000 microRNA precursor family". The record is from Rfam. NCBI's taxonomy places the organism in Eukaryota, Metazoa, Arthropoda, Collembola, Entomobryomorpha, Isotomidae.
GGCUACUAUAUUGUCCUGUCACAGCAGUACUGAAAAAUAGAUACUGAUGUGUCGGGACAUAUUCCUAGCC